GACCCGCCGAGUCUCAAAGCAGCGACCUUGCUGUGAGACUGCCCAUGUUUUAACUUAAAUAGUUAAAAUCAAUAUUUUGUGGAAUAACAUUAAUUUUCAGUGACAAAAAAUGAAACGUUUGUUAUUCUGGUCAAUAAUGAAACAAAUCAAAACCGUAGACUAGCUCUUAAAAUGGAUUACAUGUCAUGAGGUUACCUGUUGUUUUACUAAAUCUUGUGAAAUUAUAAAUAUUUAAGCAUCAUUAGGAAUGGCCAGUUUUAUAUAAAUAAUGUAUUUGCCAUAAAAUAUUUAAAAACCACUUUUGCUUUUGCUCCAUUCACCAGACAAACCGAAAAUCUUCACGUAUUUGCCUGUAGCGCCACUUGCUGGUCAGUGUGUUUAUAAUAUAUCGUCGAGUUAAGACUAUUUGGGGCUGUUGACACACCUCAGAGUAAAUAUAGCUGUUAAUAAACAUAAAACACUCCUGGCUGAGCAAAGGGUAUUAUAAUUUACGUACUUUGUUUUGUUUAAACCAUUGUACGGUGAGAUUGUGACAUUUUCAUGUCUCGGUUAACGUAGUGGAUUUACUGACCGUCAAACAGAAUCUGGACAGGUGAACUAAUUAACGUCAGCCCAAAUUUAGCUUUCGCUCUGUUGUCUUCAAACUGCGAUACCAUCGUGUCAUCUGAUGCGGUUUUGCUCGGAUGAUCCCACCAAAUGUUGUUUAAACUCCCUUUAAUCCAACAAAAUCUGAAAGACGAACUCGCUGAAGCUGCUCGGUCUUGGCAUCACAUGACAGGCCAGAAAGACUGCGGAAGGAUCUGCGCUCCUUGAAGGCCACUGUUGGAAGCAUAUCUUCCUCGUCCCUCAGCUCCAGCUUUGGCGUUUUUCCUGGACCUGCUAGCCUGAUUACAGGGUUCACGUUCUCACAAG
Non-coding RNA from Danio rerio (zebrafish), 912 nucleotides. Lineage: Eukaryota; Metazoa; Chordata; Actinopteri; Cypriniformes; Danionidae. The record is from RefSeq and is a predicted model, not a curated record.